CCGAAAUCGAAAAGCCCAAUCUUCAAACAGAAACAUUAUUAGAGAUCUUCCAGAAACAAAACAUGCAUGAGAGAGAAGGCACAUACUUUGUCAUAAAACAAUUUGAUGGAACGCAAAAAACCACAGAUUGGAGUAUGAAAUAUUCAUAUUUCACAUAUGCAUCCCUUCCAUACUCUAAUAUGAGUAUGAAACCGAAUACGAAAUCCAAACUGAUGAAAAAAGGAUCAAGAAUUUGAAGAAAUAUUUGGGAAAAACAGCAUCAGAAUGGUACCAGACAAAUCUGCUGAAGGAUGAAGAAUACAACUGGGAAAAUUGGAAGGUUCAUUCACUGAAUAUGCCAUAAAAAAGGAAUGAUUAAUAUUGGAAGUAAGGAGGAAGACUUCUGAAGAGACAGGGAUAAAUCUAAUUGUUAUUGGGUUACCCAUACACAUUCAAGAUAAAAUCAAUAAGAAACAGUACAAUCAACAAAUGGCUUAAUAGGAUUCUUGGGGCAAUAUCAGA
This is a long non-coding RNA of Bombus terrestris (buff-tailed bumblebee), 501 nucleotides long. RefSeq lists it as uncharacterized. NCBI's taxonomy places the organism in Eukaryota, Metazoa, Arthropoda, Insecta, Hymenoptera, Apidae. The record is from RefSeq and is a predicted model, not a curated record. The transcript has 2 exons.